UCCCGCCGGUACUCUGCUUCCUAGCCCAGUUCCCCAGAUCCCUAGCGAGGGAGGCUGGGAGGCGAGACAGGGUUCACCAAGAAAAGGAGGGGAAGGGUUUUUCAUCUUCCCUAUUUUCAGGAGUUUAAGUAUCAAAUUCUGGGAGGGCAUUCUAUCGUCCCUCCUCUAAAAGCAUUUGGAAUAACUUGGUGCCAAGCACAGGCAGGAUGUCGAAGAGGAAAGAUGCGCUCCUGUAAGUGGUGAGCUUAGGCACAAGUGGGACAGUGGUUCUACCGGGGACCCAAGCACUGGUGUCCUGUGGAAGGUCGCCACAUCCAAGUCACAUUCUCUCUACUGCGAACCCCCCUUCUCUCUCACUCUCCCCGAAGUCUCCAUAGGCCUUAAUGCCGGUAAAUGAAGAGAAAAGCGUGGAAUGGUGGGAGGAAAUAUCGAGCUAUGGAGGUCAAGCUGUCUUCUGGCCUGCAUUUUCAGUGACAAAAAGGUGGAUAGAUGGAGACAAUGACCCUCUAAUUUGGUGUAAGAGAAGAUAUAACUUUCCAGGAAGGCUGUGACAGCAAACAUCUCCGAAACUACUCUGAGCACCCACUCUGGGCGGCACGCUUCAGGCAGACUUUUCCAGAAACAAGAACUGACUGUAUUGUGGGGCGAGGGGUGGCCAGGGUCUCCAUCCUCCACAAGGGGGCACGUGCUCAUGACCUUGGUGCCUGCGAUGCUGUUGCGCUGGCGGUGGAGGACAUGCCUGGCUCUGGCCCGCUUGGACCUCGCCUUGCCUACCCGAUGGGAGAGGCGGACUUGUGUGGACAGACCUUCUUCUCAACCCCGGAAUCUGCCUCUGCGCUGCUGAGUCCAGACGCAUCACCAGGGGAAAACUGAGGUGAGGACGCUCACGACUCCAACUGAGCCUGGACAGCAGUCCCCCACAGUGGCAGAACAGUGGUCAUCAAAACCAUUUCCCAGCCUUUGUCUAUGUCUCUGUGGGGAGGGGGUGGGGCGGGGCCGGGGGCAGGUGUUGCCUUGCCCUGGGAUGGUCGCCAAGUUCUAGUGAUGAUUCUCUCCAUGAGGACAAAUUUUUCAGCCAGCAAACUCAAAUGUCGUCCUCAGUCCUUUUUAUGAUUGAAGGUAAAAGGAGAGGGGGUGGCAGAGGAUGAGAUGGUUAGAUAGCAGCGCUGACUCAGUGGACAUGAAUUUGAGCUAACUCGGGGGGGUAGUGAAGGACAGAGGGGCCUGGCAUGCUGCGUCCAUGGGGUCGCAGAGAGUCGGACACGAGACUUAGCGACUGAACAAUACAACAAAGUCCUUUCUAAGUGUAUUCCCUGCCUCCUCUCCACCCUGGAGGAGGCAUUCCUGGGAUCCUUGGGUCAGAAAAGGGAAGUGUUGGUCAGCAGCCUUGGGAGGCAAAAAGACUCUUGCAAAGUCUUUUUUUUUUUUUUUUUUAAGAAUACUAACACAUCUUGCCAAUUUAAAUUGGGUUCCUUAAAUCCUUUAAGGAACCCUAAAAUUGCAACCACUGCUGAGCUCACGUUUGCCUCUGCCACAUGCCAGCUGUGUGACCUUUGGCCAGGCACUGGACCUCUCUGAACCAAUUAGCCCUUCACGUCCAUCCAGAGCUCGCUGUCUCAGCUCCUUUGAACUGGCUCUCCUAGUGCCCAUUUCCUGCCUCUUAAAUUCUCUUUAUUCCAAUCCUGCCUGAAGCAGGUGGGCAGCCAGUCCUAUUAGAAAUCUCAUUCACACUUGGGAAGGCUGCAAAUUGUUGUCACUCAGCAGGUGCGUGCCCUUCACUGGAGGAAAGGGGGCUGGACUGAGUAGAAGGGGACAGAAGUGGAGAACCGGGAGAGGAGGGGGAUCAAUCUCUCCCAGGCAGUCUUCAGUAUCCAGGGCUGCUCUGGAGACAGAUGGGAGAGAGAUCCUGCCUCUGUGAAACAAACAUCUGGCAGGGUGGGUCAUGGGUGCUUUCCUGAUUUGAGAGAUGGACAAGAGUGCUGCUGUUGCUACGGGCAAGGUGCAAAGCAGAGGGAGCGAGGCACUCCUAGGGGGGUGGGUAGGGAUGCCUGGCUUCCAAUUCACACACACCCCAGUUCCAAUCCUGGAUGCAUCACUUAGUAGCUGUGUGACUUUGAGGCAUCAAAGAGAUGUGUGACUUAACAUCUCUGAGCCUUAGAUGUCUUAAUUAUAAAAUGGAACUGAUCAUAUCCACCUUGUUAGGUUAUGAUAAUUAAUCAAUAGAGGUGUCAUAGGCACAUGUAAAUACUCAACAGUAGUCUCUUGGCCUCUUGUUUCAUAGUUUUUCUCUUCUGGUAUCUGAGGGUACCCACAGGUCCCCUUCCUUGAACUAGGAACGAAUUAGAUCCACCAUGUGUUGAAAGUGUAAGUCGCAUCUGACUCUUUGUGACCCCAUGGACUGUAACCCACCAGGCUCCUCUGUCCAUGGGAUUUCCCAGGCAAGAAUACUGGAGUGGGUUGCCAUUUCCUUCUCCAGGGGAUCUUCCCAACCCAGGGAUCCCAUUUAAAUGUUUAUCCUUCCCCCCAGAUCAGUAUUUUGCCCACUUCAGGAGGCUCAAUAUAUAUCUAAAGAACGACUAUAGACCAAGUCUCCCACCUCCCUUUCCCUUCCCCCACUUUCCCGUUUUAAAAAUGCAGAAACCAAGACUUGGGUUGUCAGACUUACCUCUAAGUUACUCAGAAAAACAGACAGCUUAUUACUUCUUAAGGUAACUUUCUAGGAGUCUCAGAACACAAAAUGGUUCUUAAUCCAAGGAUCAGGUAUCUGGGGUCCCUUACCUUAACUGCAUUACCCGGGUUUUUUGUAGCUAGCAGCCCGAUGAGCGCGCACGUUUCCAAGGAUGAGCAGGGAGGCAGCGCCCUCUGCUGGGUCCUUCAGGUAUCUGCGCUUUAGCGCCCAUUCUCAGUCUUGGCUGCAAACUAGAACCACUUGGUGAGCUUUAAAAAAUCGCCAAAGUUCAGUUCACAUUGCGGGCUAGUCACAUCGGAAUCUUGGGGGUGUCACCCAAGUGCCAACAUUUUUUAAAACUCCGCAGGCAAUUCCAAUGUUCAGCCAAAACUGAGGAAUAAUUACAGGUGAAUUUUCUAAGCGAAGAAAAUGUAGCCUAGAAUGGAAAAACUUAUGGUGGAGAGUAAAAUUCCCCUGGAUCAAACCUUGCCAGUUUUCUAUUAAAAAUCAGUCAUGUGGGGGCUUCCCUGGGGGCUCAGUGGUAAAGAAUCCACCUGCCAACGCAGGAGACAGAGGUUCGAUCUCCGAUUCUGA
This is a long non-coding RNA of Bubalus bubalis (water buffalo), 3262 nucleotides long. RefSeq lists it as uncharacterized. Lineage: Eukaryota; Metazoa; Chordata; Mammalia; Artiodactyla; Bovidae. The record is from RefSeq and is a predicted model, not a curated record. The transcript is spliced from 3 exons.